Molecule: ribosomal RNA, 421 nt
Filed under: uncultured bacterium
Lineage: Bacteria
Description: bacterial SSU rRNA
Rfam family: Archaeal small subunit ribosomal RNA
Source: RNAcentral
UCCUACGGGAGGCAGCAGGCGCGAAAACUCUACAAUGCAGGCAACUGCGAUAGGGGAACAUCGAGUGAUACUCAUAUUGGGUGUCUGUCCUUCCGUCUAAAAAACGGGAGUUAGCAAGGGCCGGGCAAGACCGGUGCCAGCCGCCGCGGUAAUACCGGCGGCUCGAGUGGUGGCCGAUAUUAUUGAGUCUAAAGGGUCCGUAGCCGGCUUGGCAAGUCUCUUGGGAAAUCCGGCGGCUUAACCGUCGGUCGUCCGGGAGAUACUACCUUGCUUGGGACUGGGAGAGGCGUGAGGUACUCAGGGGGUAGGAGUGAAAUCCUGUAAUCCUUUGGGGACCACCGGUGGCGAAGGCGUCACGCCAGAACAGGUCCGACGGUGAGGGACGAAAGCUAGGGGCACGAACCGGAUUAGAUACCCGAGU